UACGUAGGGGGCAAGCGUUGUCCGGAAUUAUUGGGCGUAAAGAGCGUGUAGGCGGUCCGGUAAGUCAGCUGUGAAAGUCAAGGGCUCAACCCUUGAAUGCCGGUUGAUACUGUCGGGCUAGAGUCCGGAAGAGGCGAGUGGAAUUCCCGGUGUAGCGGUGAAAUGCGCAGAGAUCGGGAGGAACACUAAUGGCGAAGGCAGCUCGCUGGGUCGGUACUGACGCUGAGACGCGAAAGCGUGGGGAGCAAACGGG
This 253-nucleotide ribosomal RNA is filed under the name uncultured bacterium. RNAcentral's name for it is "partial 16S ribosomal RNA". It matches the Rfam family "Bacterial small subunit ribosomal RNA", at positions 524 to 776 of the family's 1533-position model. The record is from RNAcentral.